AUUGAACGCUGGCGGCGUGCCUAACACAUGCAAGUCGAGCGGUAACAGGUGUAGCAAUACAUGCUGACGAGCGGCGAACGGGUGAGUAAUGCUUCGGAAUCUACCCAAUGGUGGGGAAUAACCAGCCGAAAGGUUGGCUAAUACCGCAUACGUCCCACGGGAGAAAGCAGGGGAUCGCAAGACCUUGCGCCAAUGGAUGAGCCGAAGUCGGAUUAGCUAGUUGGAGGUAACGGCCUACCAAGGCGACGAUCCGUAGCUGGUCUGAGAGGACGACCAGCCACACUGGGACUGAGACACGGCCCAGACUCCUACGGGAGGCAGCAGUGGGGAAUAUUGGACAAUGGGGGAAACCCUGAUCCAGCGACGCCGCGUGUGUGAAGAAGGCCUGCGGGUUGUAAAGC
RNAcentral lists this ribosomal RNA (401 nucleotides) under uncultured bacterium. RNAcentral's name for it is "bacterial SSU rRNA". It matches the Rfam family "Bacterial small subunit ribosomal RNA", at positions 29 to 431 of the family's 1533-position model. The record is from RNAcentral.